CCUACGGGGGGCAGCAGUGGGGAAUAUUGGACAAUGGGGGCAACCCUGAUCCAGCCAUGCCGCGUGUGUGAAGAAGGCCCUCGGGUUGUAAAGCACUUUCAGUGAGGAAGAACGCCUGGUGGUUAAUACCCAUCAGGAAAGACAUCACUCACAGAAGAAGCACCGGCUAACUCCGUGCCAGCAGCCGCGGUAAUACGGAGGGUGCGAGCGUUAAUCGGAAUUACUGGGCGUAAAGCGCGCGUAGGUGGCUUGAUAAGCCGGUUGUGAAAGCCCCGGGCUCAACCUGGGAACGGCAUCCGGAACUGUCAAGCUAGAGUGCAGGAGAGGAAGGUAGAAUUCCCGGUGUAGCGGUGAAAUGCGUAGAGAUCGGGAGGAAUACCAGUGGCGAAGGCGGCCUUCUGGACUGACACUGACACUGAGGUGCGAAAGCGUUGGUAGCAAACAGGAUUAGAUACCCCAGUAGUC
This 465-nucleotide ribosomal RNA is filed under the name Vreelandella stevensii. RNAcentral's name for it is "partial 16S ribosomal RNA". It matches the Rfam family "Bacterial small subunit ribosomal RNA", at positions 338 to 795 of the family's 1533-position model. Lineage: Bacteria; Pseudomonadati; Pseudomonadota; Gammaproteobacteria; Oceanospirillales; Halomonadaceae. The record is from RNAcentral.